GUGCGCCUAUAUAAUCUACCGUUACUUUUAUUGGGUACGUUAGGUUGUUGUAUAUGUGG
RNAcentral lists this microRNA precursor (59 nucleotides) under Ciona intestinalis (vase tunicate). RNAcentral describes it as "microRNA cin-mir-4101 precursor". Lineage: Eukaryota; Metazoa; Chordata; Ascidiacea; Phlebobranchia; Cionidae. The record is from miRBase by way of RNAcentral.